GGCGGACGGCUGAGUAACGCGUGGGAACGUACCCCAAAGUGAGGAAUAACCGCUCGAAAGGGUGGCUAAUGCCGCAUAUGGUCUUCGGAUUAAAGGAUUUAUCCGCUUUGGGAACGGCCUGCGUACGAUUAGAUAGUUGGUGAGGUAAAGGCUCACCAAGUCUACGAUCGUUAACUGGUCUGAGAGGAUGAUCAGUCAGACUGGAACUGAGACACGGUCCAGACUCCUACGGGAGGCAGCAGUGAGGAAUCUUCCACAAUGGGCGAAAGCCUGAUGGAGCAACGCCGCGUGCAGGAUGAAGGCCUUCGGGUCGUAAACUGCUUUUAUAAGUGAAGAAUAUGACGGUAACUUAUGAAUAAGCACCGGCUAACUACGUGCCAGCAGCCGCGGUCAUACGUAGGGUGCAAGCAUUAUCCGGAGUGACUGGGCGUAAAGAGUUGCGUAGGUGGUUUGUUAAGUGAAUAGUGAAAUCUGGUGGCUCAACCAUACAGACUAUUAUUCAAACUGGCAAACUCGAGAAUAGCAGAGGUAACUGGAAUUUCUAGUGUAGGAGUGAAAUCCGUAGAUAUUAGAAGGAA
Molecule: ribosomal RNA, 578 nt
Filed under: uncultured bacterium
Lineage: Bacteria
Description: bacterial SSU rRNA
Rfam family: Bacterial small subunit ribosomal RNA
Source: RNAcentral